UUCCGUAGGUGAACCUGCGGAGGGAUCAUUACUGAGUUUACGCUCUACAACCCUUUGUGAACAUACCUAUAACUGUUGCUUCGGCGGGUAGGGUCUCCGUGACCCUCCCGGCCUCCCGCCCCCGGGCGGGUCGGCGCCCGCCGGAGGAUAACCAAACUCUGAUUUAACGACGUUUCUUCUGAGUGGUACAAGCAAAUAAUCAAAACUUUUAACAACGGAUCUCUUGGUUCUGGCAUCGAUGAAGAACGCAGCGAAAUGCGAUAAGUAAUGUGAAUUGCAGAAUUCAGUGAAUCAUCGAAUCUUUGAACGCACAUUGCGCCCGCCAGCAUUCUGGCGGGCAUGCCUGUUCGAGCGUCAUUUCAACCCUCAAGCUCUGCUUGGUGUUGGGGCCCUACAGCUGAUGUAGGCCCUCAAAGGUAGUGGCGGACCCUCCCGGAGCCUCCUUUGCGUAGUAACUUUACGUCUCGCACUGGGAUCCGGAGGGACUCUUGCCGUAAAACCCCCAAUUUUCCAAAGGUGACCUCGGAUCAGGAGAAGCC
Molecule: ribosomal RNA, 539 nt
Filed under: fungal endophyte
Lineage: Eukaryota; Fungi
Description: eukaryotic LSU rRNA
Rfam family: 5.8S ribosomal RNA (bases 204-357)
Source: RNAcentral